This 260-nucleotide non-coding RNA is filed under the name Brevibacillus brevis. RNAcentral's name for it is "T-box sequence". It matches the Rfam family "T-box leader". Rfam says of the family: Uncharged tRNA acts as the effector for transcription antitermination of genes in the T-box leader family. Lineage: Bacteria; Bacillati; Bacillota; Bacilli; Caryophanales; Paenibacillaceae. The record is from RNAcentral.
CUAUGAGCGUUGAAAAGGAAGAGUAGAAACAGAAAGCAGCGUGCAGAGAGCCGUUCCCCGUGCUGAAAGAAUGGCCGCCAGCCUGUUUUGAAAAUCACCUUGGAGCAUUGUCCUGGAAAAUCAGCUUGUGUAGCCAGUGAGUAUAGGACAACGAAUUCGUCCUCGUUAUCGGACGGGAGUUUCAUAGUGAACUGCCAAAGUCUGUUUUUCGUGAGGAAGACAGAGAAGCUGAGUGGUACCGCGAUGCCCUCGCCUCAGCC